AGUGAACGCUGGCGGUAGGCCUAACACAUGCAAGUCGAACGGCAGCACAGUAAGAGCUUGCUCUUACGGGUGGCGAGUGGCGGACGGGUGAGGAAUACAUCGGAAUCUACUUUUUCGUGGGGGAUAACGUAGGGAAACUUACGCUAAUACCGCAUACGACCUACGGGUGAAAGCAGGGGAUCUUCGGACCUUGCGCGAUUGAAUGAGCCGAUGUCGGAUUAGCUAGUUGGCGGGGUAAAGGCCCACCAAGGCGACGAUCCGUAGCUGGUCUGAGAGGAUGAGGGGCCACAGGGGAAGGAAGAGACGGUCCCGGAGACAAGGGGAGGGAGCAGGAGGGAAUGGUGAGCAAUGGGCGAAAGGCUGACGGAGCAAUGCGGCGGGAGUGAAGAAGGGCUUCGGAUCGUAAAACGCUGUUAGUAGGGAAGAAAAAAGGUGGAAGAACCUAUGCACGUCUUGACGGUACCUAAACAGAAAGCGACGGCUAACCACGUG
RNAcentral lists this ribosomal RNA (492 nucleotides) under uncultured bacterium. RNAcentral describes it as "partial 16S ribosomal RNA". It matches the Rfam family "Bacterial small subunit ribosomal RNA", at positions 30 to 507 of the family's 1533-position model. The record is from RNAcentral.